This 497-nucleotide ribosomal RNA is filed under the name uncultured bacterium. Its description in RNAcentral is "partial 16S ribosomal RNA". It matches the Rfam family "Bacterial small subunit ribosomal RNA", at positions 28 to 507 of the family's 1533-position model. The record is from RNAcentral.
GAUGAACGCUGGCGGCGUGCCUAAUACAUGCAAGUCGAGCGAACAGACGAGGAGCUUGCUCCUCUGACGUUAGCGGCGGACGGGUGAGUAACACGUGGAUAACCUACCUAUAAGACUGGGAUAACUUCGGGAAACCGGAGCUAAUACCGGAUAAUAUAUUGAACCGCAUGGUUCAAUAGUGAAAGACGGUUUUGCUGUCACCUAUAGAUGGAUCCGCGCCGCAUUAGCUAGUUGGUAAGGUAACGGCUUACCAAGGCAACGAUGCGUAGCCGACCUGAGAGGGUGAUCGGCCACACUGGAACUGAGACACGGUCCAGACUCCUACGGGAGGCAGCAGUAGGGAAUCUUCCGCAAUGGGCGAAAGCUUGACGGAGCAACGCCGCGUGAGUGAUGAAGGUCUUCGGAUCGUAAAACUCUGUUAUUAGGGAAGAACAAAUGUGUAAGUAACUAUGCACGUCUUGACGGUACCUAAUUAGAAAGCCACGGCUAACUACGUG